Molecule: ribosomal RNA, 353 nt
Filed under: uncultured bacterium
Lineage: Bacteria
Description: bacterial SSU rRNA
Rfam family: Bacterial small subunit ribosomal RNA
Source: RNAcentral
GGGCCCGCACAAGCGGUGGAGUAUGUGGUUUAAUUCGAUGCAACGCGAAGAACCUUACCAGGGUUUGACAUCCUGCGAAUCUCUUGGAAACGAGAGAGUGCCUUCGGGAACGCAGUGACAGGUGGUGCAUGGCUGUCGUCAGCUCGUGUCGUGAGAUGUUGGGUUAAGUCCCGCAACGAGCGCAACCCACGUCUUUAGUUGCCAGCAUUUAGUUGGGCACUCUAGAGAGACUGCCGGUGAUAAACCGGAGGAAGGUGUGGAUGACGUCAAGUCAUCAUGCCCCUUACAUCCUGGGCUACACACGUACUACAAUGCUACGGACAAAGGGCUGCAAGUUCGCGAGGACAAGCAAA